UGCUCAUCCAGAUACCAGGAAUCUCACUGC
This 30-nucleotide non-coding RNA is filed under the name Rattus norvegicus (Norway rat). The record is from RNAcentral. Lineage: Eukaryota; Metazoa; Chordata; Mammalia; Rodentia; Muridae.